RNAcentral lists this transfer RNA (68 nucleotides) under Phaenacantha marcida. RNAcentral describes it as "tRNA-Leu". The record is from RNAcentral. Lineage: Eukaryota; Metazoa; Arthropoda; Insecta; Hemiptera; Colobathristidae.
UCUAAUAUGGCAGAAUAUUAUGCAAGGGAUUUAAACCCCAUAAAUAAAGAAGUAAUCUUUUAUUAGAA